GAUGAACGCUGGCGAUGUGUCUAAGGCAUGCAAGUCGAACGCGUGUAGCAAUACACGAGUGGCAAACGGGAGAGUAACACAUUGGUAACUUACCUUGAAGACGGGAAUAGCCCGGAGAAAUCCGGAGUAAUACCCGAUAGUCAUGGGGGGACACAAGUCAUUCCCAUGUAAAGGCUCUGACGCUUCAAGAGAGACCUAUGUUCUAUCAGCUUGUUGGUAAGGUAACGGCUUACCAAGGCUACGACGGAUAGCGGGUGUGAGAGCAUGACCCGUCUCACUGGGACUGAGAUACUGCCCAGACUCCUACGGGAGGCUGCAGUCAAGAAUAUUCCUCAAUGGCCGAAAGGCUGAAGGAGCGACAUCGCGUGCAGGAGGAAGCCCCUCGGGGUGUAAACUGCUUUUCUCUGGGAAGAAACAAUGACGGUACCAGAGGAAUAAGGGGUUGCUAAACUCGUG
Molecule: ribosomal RNA, 456 nt
Filed under: uncultured bacterium
Lineage: Bacteria
Description: bacterial SSU rRNA
Rfam family: Bacterial small subunit ribosomal RNA
Source: RNAcentral